This 611-nucleotide ribosomal RNA is filed under the name uncultured Enterobacteriaceae bacterium. Its description in RNAcentral is "bacterial SSU rRNA". It matches the Rfam family "Bacterial small subunit ribosomal RNA", at positions 891 to 1502 of the family's 1533-position model. Lineage: Bacteria; Pseudomonadati; Pseudomonadota; Gammaproteobacteria; Enterobacterales; Enterobacteriaceae. The record is from RNAcentral.
AGGUUAAAACUCAAAUGAAUUGACGGGGGCCCGCACAAGCGGUGGAGCAUGUGGUUUAAUUCGAUGCAACGCGAAGAACCUUACCUGGUCUUGACAUCCAUAGAAUUCUGCAGAGAUGUGGGAGUGCUUUCGGGAACUAUGAGACAGGUGCUGCAUGGCUGUCGUCAGCUCGUGUUGUGAAAUGUUGGGUUAAGUCCCGCAACGAGCGCAACCCUUAUUCUUUGUUGCCAGCGAUUUGGUCGGGAACUCAAAGGAGACUGCCGUUGAUAAAGCGGAGGAAGGUGGGGACGACGUCAAGUCAUCAUGGCCCUUACGACCAGGGCUACACACGUGCUACAAUGGCGUAUACAAAGGGAAGCGAAGGUGCGAGCUGGAGCGGAUCUCAUAAAGUACGUCUAAGUUCGGAUUGGAGUCUGCAACUCGACUCCAUGAAGUCGGAAUCGCUAGUAAUCGUAGAUCAGAAUGCUACGGUGAAUACGUUCCCGGGCCUUGUACACACCGCCCGUCACACCAUGGGAGUGGGUUGCACCAGAAGUAGAUAGCUUAACCGCGAGGGGGGCGUUUACCACGGUGUGAUUCAUGACUGGGGUGAAGUCGUAACAAGGUAACCA